GCUAGGUGGCACUGGAUUCGCGGAGGGCGAGGCAGAAGGGUGCCGGCACUGUGGGAAAAGAAAAGCGCGCCGUCGGGGUGAGAAUUUGGAGGCCAUAAAGUAUGCCUCUUUAGCUAUCGAAAUCACGUCCGCGGUGCCUUUCUACAUAUUCGGGAGUUUUAGCAGCGCGUUCGAGACGCCAUUUGCGCUGCAAGCAAGCGCUUGCGGGAGAUCCAUGGAGCGAUUUCGUGAUCCGCCUUUUAGUACCACUUUUCGUAAGUUGGAGUGCGCGUGUACUAUACUGUACUAUAUACAAGGAGAUAUUGUGUGUCUGUGUGAGAGAGAGAGAGAGAGAGAGAGAAAGGCAAAAGAAAGACAGGGAGGUUAACCAGAGACUAUCUCUGGUUGGCUACCCUGUACUGGGGGAGGGGCAAGGGGAUGCAAUAGGUGAGAAAGAAAGAAGGUUUAAAAAAAGGAAAAAAAAAAGAACCUAAGCACACACACACGCACGUACACACGAACUCUUUCUGUGGGCACUGUCACAGAGCCCGCAAAGGCGUUCUAGUCUUACGCAGUGUCACCGUACAGUCCUACGUCACACAGUGUACAUAGGAGAGAGUGUACGUGUGAGAGUGAUCACGUUGUAUUGCAGGACCAAUUGUUCCUGAUUGAGCAGUGGUGUCGAACUUGGGAUAUGGAAAUUAAUGUGCAAAAAAAGUCUUAUUAACAGUUAUAGGUAAAUUACAGCCUAGUUAUUAUUCUUAUAGUCUCUGUAGCCAAGAAGUAGCAACUGUCACAAGCUAUAAGUAUUUAGGCGUUACACUUACGUCUAAGUUAUCCUGGUCAGGGCACGUUUCAGAUAUAUGUGCAUCAGCAUUUAAGAAGUUGUGUUUCCUAAGAAGGGAACUAAACAAAGCUCCAGCAAAGUUAAAGUUACUAGCGUACAAUACUUACAUAAGGUCGAAAUUAGAAUACGCUUGCGUAAUUGGGGAUCCCGAAACUAAGCAGGAUAUAUAUAAACUUGAGAUGUUGCAAAGAAAAGCAAUCCGAUUCAUUUUUGAUAAAUAUGAAAGGUGUGACUCCCCUACUAAACUUAUGCAAGAACACGGGAUUGCAACAUUACAAGUACACAUAUAUGGGACGGGCUUUCCAUAUAUCGGAAACGUCUUCGUUCUUUAAAAAGGUGCAGAAAACAAAUACGUGGGCCUUUGUUCCAGUGAUGCAAGCUACUGUCAUUCGUGAAAUUGUUCCACGUUCCUGUACCCGCUGUCCAGAACAUUUUCUCGCACACUCCUCUUUCGAGCCGUGUUUAAGUGUACGCUAUGCAUCGUCCCACGUGCUGCUGGGACCUAAAUAUAACGAGUUUGGGAAUACAUGUGCCGGCUGUCAAGAAGCCGGCGCCGGCCCUGCCGCCUCUGCAACUACGCAAAUAAACUCUAUCAGGACUUCUUACUUAUUUUAAAACGGGUUUUGAAGAACAGCGAAUGCAACAACAACCAAAAAAAGAACGAUCGGAUAUAAAGAAAACGUGAAAAACUGGAGAAGCUCUCUGAUUCUCAAAAAAAAAAAAAAAGACAAAGGAUAUGUGCUAUAGCACGGCGCCGGAAACAAAAGAAACACGGCUAUUCAAGAUUGCUUCAAAACAAUAUUCCGUGUCUGUGCGCAUGAGUCACCUACAGCACCUGUCUCGGCGCACUUGUUCGCAGUCGCGUCGGAUUUAGCAAGGUAAGGUCAAAUGACCUCCCACGAAAACGUCUCCCGCGAACGACGCAGAUUUCCGCGGUGACUCCCUCGUUUCCUCGCGCCUCGUAUACCGCGAAGCACUUGCGCAGUAACGCGAGCUAAAUUUAUUCACGCGGGACAACACUGCUGACACGUAUUUGCAUGUACCUCUAUGUAUAUAUACAUACAGUAUAACCGCCGUUAUUGUCUGAUGCAUUGAGCCGUCAGCGUGCGUUGCAUCGGUGCAAACAGAUGCUCCCGGCCGCCUCCUCGUCAGUUGCGUGCAGUACAGAAAAAAAACUGGUGCAACGACUGUUCCUAUAAUUUGGUAGACUUAAUUUUUUCGCGUGCCUGUGCAGGCAGUAUGGGAUGUUCCUACAGUCUCUUGCGCCCUCUAUAUAUACAAAUAAAGAUGCACAAUAGCUGUAAUUGUUUCGACAGAUUGUCUACCUUCAAGAAAAUUUCAUUGCCUUUCUAUAUAUACUGUAAUACGCAUAAUAUGCGGUCAACAGACUGCGUACGAAAAAAAAUUUAUUAGUCCCUUUUUCACAGGAAUUGGUGAAUUGGUCAAAACACGAAUGUGAGAACGUAUUCCAAGAGGCAGGGGCAGCUUCGUUACCCAUUCACACAUACAAGUCUAUAGAUGUCCGCAGUUUAUUAUAAAUUACAGUUUGGCUCGAAGGGCGACGCAGCGACAACGAGCACUCCAGGCCUGUGACACUGUGCAGCGUAAGCAGCACUCCGGAGGCUGUAGGAGCGCCAUAACUACAUCCGACGCGACGCCUAGUGCGUAUGUGGCGAAACUGCGUCGUUCUAGCCCACGUCGCGUUUUUCGCGAGAGAAAAGGAGACCCGCAAUAACCUCCCACGCCGCCACUGACGCGAGAGCAAGCGCACGAAGGAACGCAAACGCGUCGUGGACAUGGCGUUGUUCGAGCUCAGUCAUGAGGCCCUCGUUAACGUGAGUGCUUCUGCUGCUCCUGACGUUCCAGCUGUAGUGUUUAGGGCAGCUUAUAAUCUCCCAAAGCUGCGCACAUUGCACCGCAUAGCAGCAGCAGCAAGCAACACGUGACUCGGGGCUCCAAGGCGACGGGCUGCGCACACAGUUUCGUGCCAGAUUUCACGAGCCAGCAGACGUCAAAGCCACAGUCCGCGCAGCUGCCGCAGCGUCCUUGUUUUAUUCAUAGUUUCUUUUCUUUCCCCCAUUUCUCUGAGUCAGCACUAUAAGCGAAUAAAUCCUUUUUUUUUUU
This is a long non-coding RNA of Dermacentor andersoni, 2950 nucleotides long. RefSeq lists it as uncharacterized. NCBI's taxonomy places the organism in Eukaryota, Metazoa, Arthropoda, Arachnida, Ixodida, Ixodidae. The record is from RefSeq and is a predicted model, not a curated record.